GCAUAUCAAUAAGCGGAGGAAAAGAAAAUAACAAUGAUUCCCCUAGUAACUGCGAGUGAAGAGGGACAAGCUCAAAUUUUAAAUCUGUCGGGUUCUACCUGACCGAGUUGUAAUUUGAAGAGGCGUUUUCUGUGUUUCUGAUCAGUCCAAGUCCUUUGGGAUAAGGCAUCACGGAGGGUGAGAAUCCCGUUCGGUUGAUCAGAUUCGCUUUACGAUACGCUUUCAAAGAGUCAAGUUGUUUGGGAUUGCAGCUUAAAAUGGGAGGUAAAUUUCUCCUAAGGCUAAAUAACGGCGAGAGACCGAUAGCGAACAAGUACCGUGAGGGAAAGAUGAAAAGAACUUUGAAAAGAGAGUUAAAUAGUACGUGAAAUUGUUGAAAGGGAAACGAUUGAAGCCAGUCGUACCUGCGGGUAAUCAGCCUUUCGGGUAUGAUUCUGUGGAGCGUGAGGAGUUAAACGCCUUCAUGCCUGCAUAUUCGUGCUCUUGGGUGUACUUGCUCGUGUGGUUGGUUAACAUCAAUUUCGGAUAUCAUAAAAUGGCUGGAGGAAUGUAGCUUCGAUUUCGAUUGAAGUGUUAUAGCCUUCGGCAGAUGUGAUGAUCGGGAUUGAGGAUUGCAACGGAUACCCUUCGGGGCUACCUGUCUGAUCUCUGAUCGUUGCUUUGGUGCCGAAAGCGUGCUUACGGCUAUCAAAGUCGAUGGUUAAUAGGUUAGAACGGGUUAAAUUCGUUAAGGAUGUUGACGUA
This 744-nucleotide ribosomal RNA is filed under the name uncultured fungus. Its description in RNAcentral is "eukaryotic LSU rRNA". It matches the Rfam family "Eukaryotic large subunit ribosomal RNA", at positions 38 to 633 of the family's 3401-position model. Lineage: Eukaryota; Fungi. The record is from RNAcentral.